Molecule: long non-coding RNA, 999 nt
Organism: Canis lupus familiaris (dog)
Lineage: Eukaryota; Metazoa; Chordata; Mammalia; Carnivora; Canidae
Exons: 3
Source: RefSeq, a predicted model, not a curated record
CAUAGCUGCCUUCAAACAUUUGAAAGACCAUCAACGUAGCAGAAGAAAUGCGUGGAUUCCGUGCGGCUCAGCGAGGCAUAUGAAAACCAAAGGACAGAGAUUACUGUAGAGAGAGAGAGAGAAAGCAAGAAAGCGAGAGAGCGAAAAAGGGAUGCUGGGAACACGCUCAAAGGAGCACACUGAAAACACACCGCCAGAGCGGAAUGCUGGGAAAACGACUUAAGAGAGGGGGAUGCCGGGAACUUCCGUCAGAGAGGGAUGCUGGGAACUUCCGUCAGAGAGGGGGACGACUGAAGGCUCCUUCAGAGAGGGAUGCCGGGAACUUCCGUCAGAGAGGGAUGCUGGGAACUUCCGUCAGAGGGGGGGACGACUGAAUGCUUCUUCAGAGAGGGAUGCCGGGAACUUCUGUCAGAGAGGGGGACGACUGAAGGCUCCUUCAGGGAGGGAUGCCAAAAAUACACAUUACGAGGGGGGUGGGUGGGGGGUGGGGAAGAGGCUGGAGGAGGCGGCUUCCCGAACUCCGAACUCUCCGUCUGAGGGGGAUGCCAGGAGCUUCCCUCAGAGAGAGGAUUUGCGAGAACGUCCUCAGAGGAAAGGAUGCCAGUCACGCUAGUCAGAGGGAUUGUGGGAACAGGUCGUCAGAGAGAGAUGCUGGAGACACCUGUCUGAGAGGAGCAUGCUCGGAUCACAUCAUCAGAGAGAAGAAUGCUGGAAACAUGAGAGAUGCUGGUUCAUUUACAUCUUUGGCCAUGGAAAAGCCAUAUAAGCUCAUUAAUACCUGUCAAGAUAUUUUUUAAUGGAUUUGAAUUAGUAUACUAUCUUCUCAUCAUUUACCGAGUCAUCAAUCUUCAGCCCUGAGAUGGGAUGCCAGAUGCUGAAGUUGUUAUCCAAGUGUAUAACCCUGUAAUUGUUAUUUUCCUCUUUACUCUUCUCUCUUAUUUCCAAUUUCCCAUAAUGGGAAUUUACCAUAUGAUUUUCUAUUAAAAGUUUUUUUUUUUA